AACCCAUCAGAACCCAUUAGAACCCAUCAGAACCCAUUAGAACCCAUCGGAACCGCUCGGAAGCAGCGCCUGGCAGUGACCCCGCGGCGUCACGGUGCCACCGGGGCGGAUCCGUGGGGCACGGAACCCCCCCCAAGAACCCACCGGGACCCACCGGAACCGACCGGAACCCACCGGGACCCAUCGGAACCAGCACCCGGCGCUGAGCCCGCGGCGUCACGUCGUCAACGGGGCGGAUCCGUGGGGCGCGGGGACCCCCCCCCCCCCCCCCCCCCCGCGCGGGGCCCCCCCCCGGUGCCGCUAUGGGGCGCCCCCGAGAACCCAGCGGAACCGAGCGGGACCCUUCGGAACCGAACGGAACCCACCGGGACCGACCCCCGGAGCCCGGCCCCACGGCGCGGCGCUGUCCCCGGCCCGGGGCGGCACUCACCGGGCGGCGCCGUGGGGCGGAUCCGUGGGGCAGCCGAAGUCGCUGACUUUUACUCCAAGAAGGGAAAAUCCUUUUUAAAAGCUUCGCUCCGCCCCGGGAGCGCCGCCGCCGGAGGAGGAGCCCCCAGCGCCGGCAGCGGCCACGCACCCUUUAGCGGCCGGAGCGGGGAGCGGGGCGGGGCGGGACCGCAACCGCUUGGGGGGCGCUGCCCCACGGCCACGGGGAGCGGAGCCUCGAGGGGGGGGAGCCUCGUGCCCCACAGCGGGGGGACGCUGCGCCCCAUAGAGAAGGGGCCCGGUGCCCCACAUUGGGGGGACGCUGCGCCCCACAUCGGGGGGACGCUGUGCCCCAUAGUGAAGGGGCCCGGUGCCCCACAUUGGGGGGACGCUGUGCCCCAUAGUGAAGGGGCCCGGUGCCCCACAUUGGGGAGAUGCUGUGCCCCACAUCGAGGGGACGCUGCGCCCCAUAGAGAAGGGGCCCAGUGCCCCACACCGGGGGGACACUGUGCCCCACAUAUUGGAGGUGCUGUGCCCCAUAGUGAAGGAGCCCGGUGCCCCACAUUGGGGGGACGCUGUGCCCCAUAGUGAAGGGGCCCAGUGCCCCACAUCAGGGGGACACUGUGCCCCACAUUGGGGGUUCUCUGUGCCCCACAUCGGGGGGACGCUGUGCCCCAUAGCAAAGGGACCCAGUGCCCCACACCGGGGGUUCUCUGUGCCCCACAGUGUGCAUACUCUGUGCCCCACAUUGGGGGUUCUCUGUGCCCCACAUCGGGGGGACGCUGUGCCCCAUAGCGAAGGGGCCCGGUGCCCCACAUCAGGGGGACGCUGUGCCCCAUAGUGAAGGUGCCUGGUGCCCCACACUGGGGAGACGCUGUGCCCCACAUCAGGGAGGUGCUGUGCCCCAUAGCAAAGGGGCCCGGUGCCCCACAUCAGGGGUUCUCUGUGCCCCACAUCGGGGGUUCUCUGUGCCCCACAUCGGGGAUACACUGUGCCCCACACUGUGGGUACGCUGUGCCCCAUAGCAAAGGAGCUGGGUGCCCCACACCACGGUUUCUCUGUGCCCCACACCGUGCAUACUCCGUGCCCCACACUGUGGGUACAAUGCGCCCCAUGGCGAAGGAGCUGGCUGCCCCACACUGGGGGUUCUCUGUGCCCCACAUCAGGGUUACUCUGUGCCCCAUGGCGAAGGAGCUGGCUGCCCCACGGCGGGGGCUCGGUGCCCCACAUCACACACGAUCCGUGCCCCAUGGCGGGGGGCUGGGUGCCCCAUAGCGAGCCAGCUGUGAGCCCCACAACGUGAACACUCAUCGCCCCAUAGCAGAACAUCCAGGCACCCUCAGGCAUGGCUGCUCGGUGCCCCACAGCAGGGGGGCAGGGCGCCCCAUGGCAUAGAAACCGGGUGCCCCAUAGCGAGGCAGCUGCUGCCCCAUAGCACAGGAGCUGGGUGCCCCAUAGCGAGGGGGCCCACUGCCCCAUAGCACAGGAGCGGGGUGCCAAACAGCAAGGGAGCUGGGCGCCCCAUAACAGGGGUACUGGGCGCCCCAUAGCGAGGGGGCUGGGCACCUCAUAACGUGGGUGCUGAGCA
Numida meleagris (helmeted guineafowl) is the source of this 2014-nucleotide long non-coding RNA. The record is from Ensembl. Lineage: Eukaryota; Metazoa; Chordata; Aves; Galliformes; Numididae.